AUGUAUGAGCUCUCCCUUUAUUGGAUGUGCAACUCUGGACCAUUCAUUAAAACUCUCAUCUUGUCUGAUCAAUACAGAGGUCACCCCCAUGAAUGGGCAACUUCCAUUGAAGGGAUAAACUACGUGAGCUCAAUCACAGCCCCUUGGCUUUCGACUGACCUCCCACCGAAAGUUCUGGACCUUGACUAAAGUCCUCAUCCAAACACGGGCUAAUGAUCUUAAAAUUGUUAUCUCCUG
This 237-nucleotide long non-coding RNA is filed under the name Canis lupus familiaris (dog). RNAcentral's name for it is "lncRNA (ENSCAFG00030009652.1)". The record is from RNAcentral. Lineage: Eukaryota; Metazoa; Chordata; Mammalia; Carnivora; Canidae.